UGCUGGGAAGAGACACUAUCACCACAGCAACUCUUAUAAAGGAAGACAUUUAAUUGGGGCUGCCUUCCAGGUUCAGAGGUUUAGUCUAUUGUCACCACGGCCAGAAGUACGGUGGUACACAGGCAGGCCCGGUGCUGGUAAAGGAGCCGAGAGCUCUACAUCUGAUUUGACGGACAGCAGACCAAGAGAGUGGCACUGGGCCUGGCUUGAGCAUCUGAUAUCUCAGAGCCUACUGCCAGUGAUGCACUUCCUCCAACAAGGCCACAUCUUCUAAUAGAGCCACUCCUGUUGACCAGACAUUCAAGUGUAACACCUAGGGGGCCAUUCUUAUUCAAACUGCCACAAGACAUGAAAGUAAGCAAAACACACUACAGACAUGUGUGAAUGUGUCAAAGAACAAAUUUAGUCAAUUAAAAGAAAAAAAAA
Molecule: long non-coding RNA, 426 nt
Filed under: Rattus norvegicus (Norway rat)
Lineage: Eukaryota; Metazoa; Chordata; Mammalia; Rodentia; Muridae
Description: long non-coding RNA NONRATT006828
Source: RNAcentral